GAUGAACGCUGGCGGCGUGCCUAAUACAUGCAAGUCGAGCGAACAGACGAGGAGCUUGCUCCUCUGACGUUAGCGGCGGACGGGUGAGUAACACGUGGAUAACCUACCUAUAAGACUGGGAUAACUUCGGGAAACCGGAGCUAAUACCGGAUAAUAUAUUGAACCGCAUGGUUCAAUAGUGAAAGACGGUUUUGCUGUCACUUAUAGAUGGAUCCGCGCCGCAUUAGCUAGUUGGUAAGGUAACGGCUUACCAAGGCGACGAUGCGUAGCCGACCUGAGAGGGUGAUCGGCCACACUGGAACUGAGACACGGUCCAGACUCCUACGGGAGGCAGCAGAAGGGAAUCUUCCGCAAAGGGCGAAAGCCUGACGGAGCAACGCCGCGUGAGUGAUGAAGGUCUUCGGAUCGUAAAACUCUGUUAUUAGGGAAGAACAAAUGUGUAAGUAACUAUGCACGUCUUGACGGUACCUAAUCAGAAAGUCACGGCUAACUACGUG
RNAcentral lists this ribosomal RNA (497 nucleotides) under uncultured bacterium. RNAcentral describes it as "partial 16S ribosomal RNA". It matches the Rfam family "Bacterial small subunit ribosomal RNA", at positions 28 to 507 of the family's 1533-position model. The record is from RNAcentral.